Molecule: ribosomal RNA, 254 nt
Filed under: uncultured bacterium
Lineage: Bacteria
Description: partial 16S ribosomal RNA
Rfam family: Bacterial small subunit ribosomal RNA
Source: RNAcentral
UACGUAGGGACCAAGCGUUGUUCGGAUUUACUGGGCGUAAAGGGCGCGUAGGCGGCAAUUCAAGUCAUCUGUGAAAUCUCCGGGCUUAACCCGGAACGGUCAGGUGAUACUGGUUUGCUAGAGUGCGGAAGGGGCAAUCGGAAUUCUCGGUGUAGCGGUGAAAUGCGUAGAUAUCGAGAGGAACACCAGAGGUGAAGACGGGUUGCUGGGCCGACACUGGCGCUGACAGCGCGAAAGCCAGGGGAGCAAACGGG